RNAcentral lists this ribosomal RNA (253 nucleotides) under uncultured bacterium. RNAcentral describes it as "partial 16S ribosomal RNA". It matches the Rfam family "Bacterial small subunit ribosomal RNA", at positions 524 to 776 of the family's 1533-position model. The record is from RNAcentral.
UACAGAGGAUGCAAGCGUUAUCCGGAAUGAUUGGGCGUAAAGCGUCUGUAGGUGGCUUUUUAAGUCCGCCGUCAAAUCCCAGGGCUCAACUCUGGACAGGCGGUGGAAACUACCAAGCUGGAGUACGGUAGGGGUAGAGGGAAUUCCUGGUGUAGCGGUGAAAUGCGUAGAGAUCAGGAAGAACACCGGUGGCGAAAGCGCUCUGCUGGACCUUAACUGACACUGAGGGACGAAAGCUAGGGGAGCGAAUGGG